GUGCGUAGGCGGGCUGGUGCGUCUGCGGUGAAAUCUUUGGGCUUAACCCCAAAACUGCCAUUGAUACUAUCUGUCUUGAAUAUUGUGGAGGUUUGCGGAAUAUGUCAUGUAGCGGUGAAAUGCUUAGAUAUGACAUAGGAACACCUAUGGCGAAGGCGGUUCUCUACGGCAUAUAUUGACGCUGAGGCACGAAAGCGUGGGGAUCAAACAGGAUUAGAUACCCUGGUAGUCCACGCUGUAAACGAUGGAUGCUAGCCGUUGGGGACCUUGCUCUUCUCUGGCCCACCUCACACUUUAUACAUCCCCCCUGGGGAGUACGGUCGCACGAUGAAAACUCUCAGGAAUUGACGGGGGCCCGCACAAGCGGUGGAGAACGUGUUUUAUUUCUAAACACCGCGCAAAAACUUACCACCGUUUGACAUGGCAGGACAACUGGCAGAGAUACCUGUCUUCCCUUCGGGGACCUGCACACAGGUGCAGCAUGGCUGUCGUCACCUCCUGUCAUGAGAUGGUGUGUUAAGUCCCGCAACGAGCGCCCCCGUCUCCUUUAGUU
This 553-nucleotide ribosomal RNA is filed under the name uncultured bacterium. RNAcentral describes it as "bacterial SSU rRNA". It matches the Rfam family "Bacterial small subunit ribosomal RNA", at positions 567 to 1116 of the family's 1533-position model. The record is from RNAcentral.